GAGCUGCCGCCGAGGAGUCCCGCCCCAGCCUGCGUCGGCCAGUAGCUCGGUCGCUGCUCUUUUCCAGGCGGGUUAGCCCUACCAGGAGGAACCGAAGACAGAAUACUGGCUGGCUGGCCCUCCCAGCGCUCGCAGCCGCGCCAUGCUCGUCCUCCGAAGCGGCCUGACUAGAGCUCUGGCUGCGCGGACGCUCGCGCCUCAGGUGCACUCAUCUUUUGCUACGGGCCCAAGACAAUAUGAUGGAACAUUCUAUGAAUUUCGUACUUAUUAUUUUAAGCCCUCAAAGAUGAAUGAGUUUCUGGAAAACCUUAAGAAAAACAUACAUCUUCGGACAGCUCACUCUGAAUUGGUUGGAUCCUGGAGUGUAGAAUUUGGAGGCAAAAUGAAUAAAGUGUUUCAUAUUUGGAAGUAUGAUAAUUUUGCUCACCGAACUGAAGUUCGGAAAGCCCUGGCCAAAAAUAAAGAUUGGCAACAAUUUCUCAUUCCAAAUCUGGCUCUCAUAGAUGAACAAGAGUUUGAGAUUACUUACCUGGUGCCAUGGUGCAAAUUAGAAAAGCCUGCAAAAGAAGGAGUCUAUGAGCUGGUUAUUUUUCAGAUGAAACCAGGUGGGCCAGCUCUGUGGGGUGACGCAUUUAGAAGGGCACUUAACGCCCAUGUGGAUCUAGGCUACUCAAAACUAGUCGGAGUUUUCCACACAGAAUAUGGAGCACUCAACAGAGUUCAUGUUCUUUGGUGGAAUGAGAGUGCAGACAGUCGUGCAGCUGGGAGACAUCAGUCUCAUGAGGAUCCCAGAGUUGUGGCAGCUGUUCGGGAGAGUGUCAAUUACCUCGUGUCUCAACAGAAUAUGCUUCUGCUUCCUACAUCAUUUUCACCUUUGAAAUAGUUUUCCACUGAAAGACAAAGCAUUGCAUUAACUGCUAUAAGAUGUGUCUGCUAAUGGUGCUUAAAUUCUCCCAAGAGAUUCUUUUAUUUGGAAGAUGUGUUGGACGCAACUGACCACCUUCGCCUUCCUGAAACACUGGAUUCUGAGCUUCGAUAUAUGGCAUCAUACUCAGAUUUUCCUCCUCACUGGCCAGUCCCUGUUCCUUUGCUGGCUUCUCUCUAAAUAUGGGAAGGAUGUCAGAGCACAGGAAUAUUUUCUGUCUUCAUUUUCUUUAUAGGUCAGUCCCAAGGCUUAAAUACCAUACAUGUGCUGUGCUGAUGUUUCACACAUUUUUACCUUCUUUCCCAUCAUUGUUCCUGAGCACCAGACUGAAAUAGCAGCCAUAUUUUAACACAACCACCCACUUAGUUUGGGUCACAAACCUUAAUAGCUCUCUCCCCCUCAAUCCCCACAUGGAUCUUGUCAACAGUGCCUUUGGCUCUGUCAGUAAAAGAGAUCCUAAACAUUCCUAUUCCUCCCAAUAUCGCUUUGCCUCCCUACUGUCCUUUCUCCCCAUACAACCACCUUUUUUUCUGAACAGCGAUUAGAUCAAACCAUUACCUUGUUUAAAACUCUCCAGUGGCUUCUCAUUGCACUAACAAUAAAAUCCAGAUACCUUACCAUGGCCUGCUAGGCCCUAUAGGUUCUGGUUUCUGCCCCUUCUACCAGUCCGGAGACAUUGGAAUUCUCUCCCUCCUUCCCCAACUUGCCAAGUUUUUUCCCACCUGGGGCCUUUGUCACCAGGUGUUCCUUCUUCCAGGAAGGUUCUCUCUGCCCACCUUCAAAUGUUGGCUCCUGCUUAUUUUAUGAGAUAUGAGCUUAAAUGUCACUCUUCAGAUGGCUGCCUCUCCAUCGUUACCUCAUUGCCAUGGCUUAUUUUCUUCUUAGCACUUACUGUGGUCUGAAUUUAUUGUAUUUGUCUACAUAUCCAUCGUGAAUGCGAAUAUAAUUUCUCCACUGAAAUUUUAGUUCAUUAGAGCAGGAACUCUGUCUUCAACACUGCAUCCCCAGAACCUAGAAAGGUAUAUGGUGCACAACAGAGUUUAAUAAAUAUUUGUUAAAUUACGAUUCCAGACUAAUUUUAUGAGGGCAAUCUUAACUGAUACACCACCUCACCAGAAAGAACUCUCUGCCAUUUCAAUAGUGGUCUAAACAAGUUAUUUAUCCACUAAGCCACACAAUUUCCCCAUAUAUCAAAUGGUAUUGCUUACCCCAUAGGGCAGACAAGUAAUUGAGGAUUACAUUAAGUGUCUGACAACACAGUAAAACACUAGAAAAAGCUAAUUUUCUUAUACUUUUUCAUAUGUAAUAUAUGCAUUAACAUUUUAAAGUUUCCGAGGUUUUUUUGAACCUUCAAGUAUUUAUUUAGGCUUUUCUCUAUAUAGAAGAUUUUCCUCAAGACCCACGGGUAACUUACAUUAUCUAAGUUACUUGCCUUUUCGUUUUUCAGUAGUUUUCUUCUCUCCCUCAGUGGUCAUUUUCCACAAAGAAACUGUUCUCUAGCAUUUCACUUAAGUUGUGGUAAUGUGAACAUUAAGAGGGAAAGACAGAGCUGUGACGCAGAGGCUGAGUGGUCUAGAAGGCUCCGUCACAAACCGACCAAGACCCUCCUCUGCACACAGCCAGAUGUGCACCUUAGCAAAGGACCGCUCACUACCCGUUGUCCCAGCCAUUCUGAGGAGGUCCCACAUAGGGCCAUGACUCCACCGUGCAGCCUACCAGCGGGUGUUUGACAGACGUUCUUCACGUUAGUGAGAUAAGCAGACAACUUUUCUGAGAUUUUGCUAGUGAGCUAUUAAAACUAUAUCCAUGUGUGUCAUCAGAGCCUACAUAACCUUGGCUUGCGAUUGCACAGCACUUCUUACAGAAGGAAGGCACCUCUGAUGUUCCUCUACUGUUUCCACGUUUCUGCACACUCCCCCAGGCCACAUGCCCAGGACAAUUGCCACACUCUGUCCUUGCAUUUUCAGUUGAAUCCGCAAAGGACAACUGAAGGCAGCCAUUGUAGCUUCUAUACCAAAUAAAGCAGUGAGACUUUUAUUAAACAGGUUUAGCUACACAGUGUUUUCAGAGAUCUCUAUAGCUUCGAAAUCAUUAAGCUUUUAUCUAAAACCUCUUAAACUUAAUAUUUACUAUCUUAACCAAAUUAUGAAAGUGCAAACACCCUUUAUUUCCAAGUAGUCCCCUCAGCCCUCUUUCCAACAGGACAUUUAGCCUGUUCUACUACAGGCGGACAUUUCUUACUCUCCUGAUGGCUUUAUAAGCAUUAACAGUAGGUGGUGCUACAGAUGCAUGGAAAUAAAUUUGCAUAGACCAGCAGAACUGCCACAGCUUUAUUUCGUGACUCAUUACAACAUAGAAAUAUGUUUUUUUAAUACUUCAUAUAAAGUUAUUGACAUACAAAAUUUUUUUCUUUUUUUUCCUUUUAAUGAAAAUGAUUUAACUUAGAAAUCUGUUGUGAAACUUUUGUCUAGUUUUGCAAUUCUCAGAUAUUCCAGUGCAAAAAUAGAUCCCAUUAGAGACAGCAUAAA
RNA transcript from Panthera uncia (snow leopard), 3453 nucleotides. It is a transcript of the gene named protein NipSnap homolog 3A, with no coding region annotated. The transcript has 7 exons. NCBI's taxonomy places the organism in Eukaryota, Metazoa, Chordata, Mammalia, Carnivora, Felidae. The record is from RefSeq and is a predicted model, not a curated record.